RNAcentral lists this ribosomal RNA (254 nucleotides) under uncultured bacterium. RNAcentral describes it as "partial 16S ribosomal RNA". It matches the Rfam family "Bacterial small subunit ribosomal RNA", at positions 524 to 776 of the family's 1533-position model. The record is from RNAcentral.
GACGUAGGGCGCGAGCGUGUCCGGAUUUAUUGGGCGUAAAGAGCUCGUAGGCGGCUCGUCGCGUCGACCGUGAAAACCCGCGGCUAACUGCGGGCUUGCGGUUGAUACGGGCGGGCUAGAGUUCGGUAGGGGAGACUGGAAUUCCUGGUGUGAGCGGCUGAAAUGCGUAGAUAUCUGGAGGAACACCGGUGGCGAAGGCGGCAUCCUGGACCGGUAUUGACGCUGAGGAGCGAAAGCGUGGGGGAGCGAACAGG